Molecule: ribosomal RNA, 277 nt
Filed under: Nannocoris cavifrons
Lineage: Eukaryota; Metazoa; Arthropoda; Insecta; Hemiptera; Schizopteridae
Description: partial 28S ribosomal RNA
Rfam family: Eukaryotic large subunit ribosomal RNA
Source: RNAcentral
AAUAAAACCUAAAGGCAAAACAAAAGUAAAGAAAGCUUUGCUUUUUAAGGGAAGAUGGUUAAAUUUUAAUCCGCACUCCCGGGGCGUUAAUUACUCAUUGCUAGUAAAGGCGCACCUAGAGCGUACAUGUUGGGUCCCGAAAGAUGGUGAACUAUACCUGACCAGGAUGAAGCCAGGGGAAACCCUGGUGGAGGUCCGUAGCGAUUCUGACGUGCAAAUCGAUCGUCAGAGUUAGGUAUAGGGGCGAAAGACUAAUCGAACCAUCUAGUAGCUGGUU